RNAcentral lists this ribosomal RNA (119 nucleotides) under Pteropus alecto (black flying fox). The record is from RNAcentral. Lineage: Eukaryota; Metazoa; Chordata; Mammalia; Chiroptera; Pteropodidae.
AUCUACAGCCAUGUCACCCUGAACAAGCUCAAUCCCGUCUGAUCUCGGAAGCUAAGCAGGGUCGGGCCUGGUUAGUACUUGGAUGGGAGACCACCUAGGAAGACCAGGUGCUGUAGGCG